UUAUCAAGCUUUGAUCCAGAGUACCACGAGACACGUGAAACCUUGUGGGAAGCAGGGAGGACCACCUCCCAAGGCUAAAUACUACCUGAUGACCGAUAGUGAAGCAGUACCGUGAGGGAAAGGUGAAAAGAACCCCGGGAGGGGAGUGAAAUAGAACCUGAAACCGUGUGCCUACAACCGGUCAAAGCCCCAAAUGAGGGUGAUGCCGUGCUUUUUGUAGAACGAGCCAACGAGUUACGGUAUGUAGCAAGGUUAAGUACUUAAGGUACGGAGCCGAAGGGAAACCGAGUCUUAAUAGGGCGACUAGUUGCAUGCCGUAGACCCGAAACCGGGUGACCUAUCCAUGGCCAGGUUGAAGCGAGGGUAAAACCUCGUGGAGGACCGAACCACGUUGCUGUUGAAAAAGCAUGGGAUGAGCUGUGGAUAGCGGAGAAAUUCCAAUCGAACCCGGAGAUAGCUGGUUCUCUCCGAAAUAGCUUUAGGGCUAGCGUCGAGUAUGAG
Molecule: ribosomal RNA, 501 nt
Filed under: Salmonella enterica subsp. enterica serovar Corvallis
Lineage: Bacteria; Pseudomonadati; Pseudomonadota; Gammaproteobacteria; Enterobacterales; Enterobacteriaceae
Description: partial 23S ribosomal RNA
Rfam family: Bacterial large subunit ribosomal RNA
Source: RNAcentral